Molecule: ribosomal RNA, 452 nt
Filed under: Neisseria sicca
Lineage: Bacteria; Pseudomonadati; Pseudomonadota; Betaproteobacteria; Neisseriales; Neisseriaceae
Description: bacterial SSU rRNA
Rfam family: Bacterial small subunit ribosomal RNA
Source: RNAcentral
AUUGAACGCUGGCGGCAUGCUUUACACAUGCAAGUCGGACGGCAGCACAGAGAAGCUUGCUUCUUGGGUGGCGAGUGGCGAACGGGUGAGUAACAUAUCGGAACGUACCGAGCAGUGGGGGAUAACUAAUCGAAAGAUUAGCUAAUACCGCAUAUCUUCUGAGGAAGAAAGCAGGGGACCAUUUGGCCUUGCGCUGUUUGAGCGGCCGAUAUCUGAUUAGCUAGUUGGUGGGGUAAAGGCCUACCAAGGCGACGAUCAGUAGCGGGUCUGAGAGGAUGAUCCGCCACACUGGGACUGAGACACGGCCCAGACUCCUACGGGAGGCAGCAGUGGGGAAUUUUGGACAAUGGGCGCAAGCCUGAUCCAGCCAUGCCGCGUGUCUGAAGAAGGCCUUCGGGUUGUAAAGGACUUUUGUCAGGGAAGAAAAGGGCGGGGUUAAUACCCCUGUCUGA